CUACGUGCCAGCAGCCGCGGUAAUACGUAGGUCCCGAGCGUUGUCCGGAUUUAUUGGGCGUAAAGCGAGCGCAGGCGGUUAGAUAAGUCUGAAGUUAAAGGCUGUGGCUUAACCAUAGUACGCUUUGGAAACUGUUUAACUUGAGUGCAAGAGGGGAGAGUGGAAUUCCAUGUGUAGCGGUGAAAUGCGUAGAUAUAUGGAGGAACACCGGUGGCGAAAGCGGCUCUCUGGUCUGUAACUGACGCUGAGGCUCGAAAGCGUGGGGAGCGAACAGGAUUAGAUACCCUGGUAGUCCACGCCGUAAACGAUGAGUGCUAGGUGUUGGAUCCUUUCCGGGAUUCAGUGCCGCAGCUAACGCAUUAAGCACUCCGCCUGGGGAGUACGACCGCAAGGUUGAAACUCAAAGGAAUUGACGGGGGCCCGCACAAGCGGUGGAGCAUGUGGUUUAAUUCGAAGCAACGCGAAGAACCUUACCAGGUCUUGACAUCCCGAUGCUAUUUCUAGAGAUAGAAAGUUAC
This 518-nucleotide ribosomal RNA is filed under the name uncultured bacterium. RNAcentral describes it as "bacterial SSU rRNA". It matches the Rfam family "Bacterial small subunit ribosomal RNA", at positions 501 to 1017 of the family's 1533-position model. The record is from RNAcentral.